GGACUCUGUAGCUCAGUUGGUUAGAGCUUGACAACUGUCUCUCUGUAGCUCAGUUGGUUAGAGCUCGACAACUGUCUCUCUGUAGCUCAGUUGAUUAGAGCUUGACAACUGUCUCUCUGUUGCUCAGUUGGUUAGAGCUUGACAACUGUCUCUCUGUAGCUCAGUUGGUUAGAGCUUGACAACUGUCUCUCUGUAGCUCAGUUGGUUAGAGCUUGACAACUGUCUCUCUGUAGCUCAGUUGGUUAGAGCUUGACAACUGGCCUCUGUAGCUCAGUUGGUUAGAGCUUGACAACUGGCCUCUGUAGCUCAGUUGGUUAGAGCUUGACAACUGGCUUCUGUAGCUCAGUUGGUUAGAGCUUGACAACUGGCCUCUGUAGCUCAGUUGGUUAGAGCUUGACAACUGGCCUCUGUAGCUCAGUUGGUUAGAGCUUGACAACUGGCCUCUGUAGCUCAGUUGGUUAGAGCUCGACAACUGUCUCUCUGUAGCUCAGUUGGUUAGAGCUCGACAACUGUCUCUCUGUAGCUCAGUUGGUUAGAGCUUGACAACUGUCU
This is a non-coding RNA of Paramuricea clavata, 552 nucleotides long. NCBI's taxonomy places the organism in Eukaryota, Metazoa, Cnidaria, Anthozoa, Malacalcyonacea, Plexauridae. The record is from the annotation of a GenBank genome assembly.